Molecule: ribosomal RNA, 497 nt
Filed under: uncultured bacterium
Lineage: Bacteria
Description: partial 16S ribosomal RNA
Rfam family: Bacterial small subunit ribosomal RNA
Source: RNAcentral
GAUGAACGCUGGCGGCGUGCCUAAUACAUGCAAGUCGAGCGAACAGACGAGGAGCUUGCUCCUCUGACGUUAGCGGCGGACGGGUGAGUCACACGUGGAUAACCUACCUAUACGACUGGGAUAACUUCGGGAAACCGGAGCUAAUACCGGAUAAUAUAUUGAACCGCAUGGUUCAAUAGUGAAAGACGGUUUUGUUGUUACUUAUAGAUGGAUCCGCGCCGCAUUAGCUAGUUGGUAAGGUAACGGCUUACCAAGGCAACGAUGAGUAGCCGACCUGGGAGGGUGAUCGGCCACACGGGACCUGAGAAACGGUCCAGACUCCUACGGGAGGCAGCAGUAGGGAAUCUUCCGCAAGGGGCGAAAGCCUGACGGAGCAACGCCGCGUGAGUGAUGAAGGUCUUCGGAUCGUAAAACUCUGUUAUUAGGGAAGAACAAAUGUGUAAGUAACUAUGCACGUCUUGACGGUACCUAAUCAGAAAGCCACGGCUAACUACGUG